AUGAUUGGUGGAUAUAGCAUCUCACUAGAUCUUCAAAAAUAUUUCAGAGUAAAUUCAGUAAUCUCAUUCAGUAAUCAUCAUGCAAAUCAGAAAACUAAUAGUUAUGUAAUCAUAUAUGAAAUUGGUUUUCUGAUUUUUAUUAUAUCAGUUGCAGGAGCUGACCUAGAAAAAUGCACCUUUACCAAGCAGAUUUCUAAGUGCAUAAGGCCAAGGGUCAUGCCCCCUGUGGAGGUCCUCCUGGAAGUACCAAGCUGGGAACUAAGCUCCAAACAAAAGUACCUUUGGGAGCCAGUCCAGAUCAGAACACCGCAAAAGCUACUAGAGCUGCAUACUAAACAAUGGGACACAACACUGUUUCCUUUGUGAAUCCAGAGUUUCACUACCCAACAACAGUUUCUUCAAGAAAAAUGCAAAUCUCCCAAUUGCAGUAAACAGGACAACUUCUGCUUGUGUCAAGGUUGUUAUCCAAAUAUUUCUAAGAAAAGAGUUUAUUUCUAGAAAUGACACUGCUGGAAUUCUGUACCUAAGCAACAUAAAUUCAGUGAAUAUGAAGGUAAUAUAUGCUUCAUGCCCAUCCCUUUUCUUGAAAAAUAGCCAUCUCACCACCUCUGUUAAAUAAGAACUGCGUGUUUUAGGUUCUAGGGCACUUAUCAGUGUAAAAAGCAUUUGAUUUAUUUGUCACAUACUGUAUUUAUUGUACACGGGCUUUUUUCCUUUUGGACAAAGAUCUAGAGCUAUUUUUCCUCCCUGGAUACUACAGAGGGGAAAAGCCCUUGUUGCUGGCCCAAGUGUUCUCCCUGUAACCAAAAGUCAAUAUGCCCAAGAGAAUCAGAUCACUAUUUACUAAUGUAUAGCUUUCUGUUUUAGAUUUUAUUUUUACAGUCUGUACUACAAGAAAUUUUAAUAUAUGCCUUACACAUGACAACCCUCACACAGUUUGCAGUCCCUCAGCUCUUUUUCACUUGAAACCGAUUUCAUUAUCUUCCGUUCUCAAUGAGAGAGAGAGAGGGAGAGAGAGAGAGCUAUUCCAAGAAAAUUUACUGCCCAAAUUCCUUUGGGCAAAACAUUAAGACUUUACCUGUUACUCUUUUCUCUGUGUAUUGUAUGUACUAUAUUUGUAUUAACUUACUGGGACUGUUUGUGACACUUUGCAUGGAGUGUCCAGCCAGGAAGCUGAGAGCAGGGCAGCUGACUAGGGAGACUCCAUGGGGGCAGAGGAAAGGCCUCUGGAAGCUUCCAAACCUAUUUGGUAUGGAUACAUUUCUCUACGUCAGUUCCUGAGUUUGAUACAUAAAGUCGGAAAGCCACUUUAAUAACUCACAGUGUAGCUGUCACGAGGCUCGUGGCAUACACUGAGCAUGAUGAGACAUUCUCUGCCUCCAGGGAAGAUAAUUAUAAUGAGAAGGUUCUUAGCAAGCAUGGGAUCAGAACAAAGAGCUGGUUGCGUAGAUUUACCAAUGCACUCUUCUCUUCUGUGGCUUGGAAUGUUGGAAGUCCUCUGGCUUUGAGACCAACCUGCCUUCCUCCCCUAAAUAGGGCUUGGAUGAGCAGGGCCAACAUCUGAUUGUCUCUCUCUCCUUUUUCUAUCACCAAUAGUCACAUGUUUACCGCUCACCCUGCCAAACUUUCCAACAGACACAUUCUCCCUUUAUGGAAAUUAAGACAACUCUGCGGGUCAUGGUCAAGUCUUGUUGACCUGGCUGUGUUUUUAUGAGGGCUUCAUAUCUCUGCUCUCAUCCAUUAUUUCUGAGUUAAUAGAGAUCUUGGAGAAAGGAAGGUAUUUUACUGCCUCCCCUGCAUUUCUGAAAUGGAAGCACAUUUCCAAAGAAAAGCUCCUGACUCACUUUCUGCAUUAUGGGAAUCACCUAUUUGAUUCUGUUGAUCUUUCUAACAGAUAAAUAGCAUUACUUCCAUUUCAUUCAAUAAUGAAUAAUGGUCUUUUUCCUGAAGCAUAUUAAAUAUAUGUCUAGUCAUCAUUUAAAUCUUUCUUCCUCUGCUUUGCCUAUUUGAGCAUUUUCCCUAUUCAUCUUCGCUAACAGUUUCUCCGGAAACACCACACAAGCUCACCCUACCUGGGACUCUGGCCAGGUGUCUGAGGGGAGAAAAGUUAUGAAUUUUGUGACGGCACUGAGGAAUCAGUUUCAACCUAACAUUUUAGAGCAAUUGAAGGGCAGAGUUUGAAACUGAUGUCAUAAAAGGUUAUUACAUCAACAUAUUGUUAUUUUACUAUAUUACAGAUCAAUUUAUAAUUAUUCACUUAUUUUACCUACAUGUGCUAGGCUGUAUAUAGACCAAGAUAGGCAAUCUUCAAAAUCAGGCACGUACUCUUUCUGUU
Molecule: long non-coding RNA, 2335 nt
Organism: Fukomys damarensis (Damara mole-rat)
Lineage: Eukaryota; Metazoa; Chordata; Mammalia; Rodentia; Bathyergidae
Source: Ensembl